RNAcentral lists this ribosomal RNA (550 nucleotides) under uncultured bacterium. RNAcentral describes it as "bacterial SSU rRNA". It matches the Rfam family "Bacterial small subunit ribosomal RNA", at positions 567 to 1116 of the family's 1533-position model. The record is from RNAcentral.
GCUCGUAGGCGGUUCGUCACGUCGGCUGUGAAAUCCCGAGGCUCAACCUCGGGUCUGCAGUCGAUACGGGCGGACUGGAGUACUGCAGGGGAGACUGGAAUUCCUGGUGUAGCGGUGAAAUGCGCAGAUAUCAGGAGGAACACCGGUGGCGAAGGCGGGUCUCUGGGCAGUAACUGACGCUGAGGAGCGAAAGCGUGGGGAGCGAACAGGAUUAGAUACCCUGGUAGUCCACGCCGUAAACGUUGGGCGCUAGGUGUGGGGGCCAUUCCACGGUCUCCGUGCCGCAGCUAACGCAUUAAGCGCCCCGCCUGGGGAGUACGGCCGCAAGGCUAAAACUCAAAGGAAUUGACGGGGGCCCGCACAAGCGGCGGAGCAUGUUGCUUAAUUCGAUGCAACGCGAAGAACCUUACCUAGGCUUGACAUGCACGGAAAUCCUCCAGAGAUGGGGGGGUCCGUAAGGGCCGUGCACAGGUGGUGCAUGGUUGUCGUCAGCUCGUGUCGUGAGAUGUUGGGUUAAGUCCCGCAACGAGCGCAACCCUCGUUCCAUGUU